Molecule: ribosomal RNA, 463 nt
Filed under: uncultured bacterium
Lineage: Bacteria
Description: bacterial SSU rRNA
Rfam family: Bacterial small subunit ribosomal RNA
Source: RNAcentral
GCCAGACUCCUACGGGAGGCAGCAGUGGGGAAUAUUGCACAAUGGGGGAAACCCUGAUGCAGCGACGCCGCGUGAGUGAAGAAGUAUUUCGGUAUGUAAAGCUCUAUCAGCAGGGAAGAAAUACUGACCUUACGGUCAGCAGACGGUACCUGACUAAGAAGCCCCGGCUAACUACGUGCCAGCAGCCGCGGUAAUACGUAGGGGGCAAGCGUUAUCCGGAUUUACUGGGUGUAAAGGGAGCGUAGACGGCAGCGCAAGUCUGAAGUGAAAUCCCAUGGCUUAACCAUGGAACUGCUUUGGAAACUGUAUAGCUUGAGUGCAGGAGAGGUAAGCGGAAUUCCUAGUGUAGCGGUGAAAUGCGUAGAUAUUAGGAGGAACACCAGUGGCGAAGGCGGCUUACUGGACUGUAACUGACGUUGAGGCUCGAAAGCGUGGGGAGCAAACAGGAUUAGAUACCCGGGUA